GCGUUCGUGAUGGAAAUGGCAGACAUACCUGGCUUAGAACCAGGCGCCGUAAUCGGCAUGCGAGUUCGAGUCUCGCCGAACGCACCA
RNAcentral lists this transfer RNA (87 nucleotides) under Hahella chejuensis KCTC 2396. RNAcentral's name for it is "tRNA-Leu (TAG) (tRNA-Leu-TAG-2-1)". It matches the Rfam family "tRNA". From Rfam's summary of the family: Transfer RNA (tRNA) molecules are approximately 80 nucleotides in length. Lineage: Bacteria; Pseudomonadati; Pseudomonadota; Gammaproteobacteria; Oceanospirillales; Hahellaceae. The record is from RNAcentral.